GUAAGUGCCUAGCAGGCGUAUAGACUUUUCUGCCACCGAAUACAUUAGCAUGGGAUAAUGGAAUAGGACCCUGUCCUCCUUUUUUCAGUUGGUUAAUUCAUGAGAGAGGAACAGGGUAAUGAUUAAUAGGGAUAGUUGGGGGCAUUAAUAUUUAAUUGUCAGAGGUGAAAUUCUUGGAUUUAUGAAAGAUUAACUUCUGCGAAAGCAUCUGCCAAGGAUGUUUUCAUUAAUCAAGAACGAAAGUUAGGGGAUCGAAGACGAUCAGAUACCGUCGUAGUCUUAACCAUAUACGAUGCCGACCAGCGAUUAGGAGACGUUGAAUACACAACACCUCUAUAUAUAAUUCAGUAUAUGGCUAGCAAUGGCUGUAUAUUGUUUGUGUAUAGAUACGGUGAAUGAUUCCCCUGGAAACUUUUUGGGACAA
Molecule: ribosomal RNA, 424 nt
Filed under: Acanthamoeba palestinensis
Lineage: Eukaryota; Discosea; Longamoebia; Acanthamoebidae
Description: SSU rRNA
Rfam family: Eukaryotic small subunit ribosomal RNA (bases 1-357)
Source: RNAcentral